Molecule: small nucleolar RNA, 119 nt
Filed under: Echinops telfairi (small Madagascar hedgehog)
Lineage: Eukaryota; Metazoa; Chordata; Mammalia; Afrosoricida; Tenrecidae
Description: Small nucleolar RNA SNORA61 (ENSETEG00000026630.1)
Source: RNAcentral
ACCCUCCAGAUUCCUUACCCCUCAUCUAAGUAUUGGUCUGCGUGGUUAAAAAAGGAGGAACAUGAAACCUAAUGUGGACCUGGAGUCUUUAAUAACAGACAAGUUCAUUUCAAACAUAA